UACGGAGGGUGCAAGCGUUGUUCGGAAUUAUUGGGCGUAAAGCGCGUGUAGGCGGUCUGUUAAGUCUGAUGUGAAAGCCCCGGGCUCAACCCGGGAAGUGCAUUGGAUACUGGCAGACUUGAGUACGGGAGAGGGAAGUGGAAUUCCGAGUGUAGGGGUGAAAUCCGUAGAUAUUCGGAGGAACACCGGUGGCGAAGGCGGCUUCCUGGACCGAUACUGACGCUGAGACGCGAAAGCGUGGGGAGCAAACAGG
This 253-nucleotide ribosomal RNA is filed under the name uncultured bacterium. RNAcentral's name for it is "partial 16S ribosomal RNA". It matches the Rfam family "Bacterial small subunit ribosomal RNA", at positions 524 to 776 of the family's 1533-position model. The record is from RNAcentral.